GAUGAACGCUGGCGGCGUGCCUAAUACAUGCAAGUAGAACGCUGAAGGAAGGAGCUUGCUCUUUCCGGAUGAGUUGCGAACGGGUGAGUAACGCGUAGGUAACCUGCCUGGUAGCGGGGGAUAACUAUUGGAAACGAUAGCUAAUACCGCAUAACAGUAGAUGUUGCAUGAUAUCUACUUAAAAGGUGCAAUUGCUCCACUACCAGAUGGACCUGCGUUGUAUUAGCUAGUUGGUGAGGUAACGGCUCACCAAGGCGACGAUACAUAGCCGACCUGAGAGGGUGAUAGGCCCAACUGGGACUGAGGAACGGCCCAGAAUCCUACGGGAGGCAGCAGUAGGGAAUCUUCGGCAAUGGACGGAAGGCUGACCGAGCAACGCCGCGUGAGUGAAGAAGGGUUUCGGAUCGGAAAGCUCUGUUGUAAGAGAAGAACGAGUGGGAGAGUGGAAAGUUCACACUGUGACGGUAUCUUACUAGAAAGGGACGGCUAACUACGUG
RNAcentral lists this ribosomal RNA (497 nucleotides) under uncultured bacterium. RNAcentral describes it as "partial 16S ribosomal RNA". It matches the Rfam family "Bacterial small subunit ribosomal RNA", at positions 28 to 507 of the family's 1533-position model. The record is from RNAcentral.